ACCUCAGGUGAUCAGUCUGCCUCAGUCUCCCAAAGUGCUGGGAUUACAGGCAUGAGCCACCACGCCCGGCCAAGUUCUCAGUUUUUAAACUUGACAGCAGGAACUUAUAUAGCUUUUCAUAGGAGAGACAUUAAGAAAUGUAGCUUUUAAUUCAGGCUUACCUUUUUGCAUCAGAGAGUAUGAAGCCUUGUACAAUGAUGGCCAUGCUCUCUCUGCUUUGUCUGUUUUUACUUUAGUUAUUACCAAAAGAUAUACAGUUUUUUAACUAGGAAUAAAGAAAUAAACACAAUGAAUGCAUUAUAAUAUAUAUUCAAAAACAUAUCAAAACAGCCUUACCCAACUGGUCUUGAAAAAGAUAACCUUUGGGAAAUCUUCCAGGCCAGCCAUGAUUGCUGGAAAGAAAAUAAGCAAAUGCUUACUAAAGGGCUUUUCCCAAGUGACAUAUUUCUCUUAGAAUUUCUAGUCUUUGGAUACUGAUACCUUCACCUUCAUCUCAGAUGAUGUAGAAAUUCAUCUCAGAAUUCAGGAACUGAUAGCUUCUAGUUCCUCUGAGAAUAUUCCUCAAUCAACAAGUUGUCUACCUAGCUAAGGCACAGCUUCCUGGAAUUAAGACUUCAUAACCUAGGUUAUAAUUAACUCAGACUUCCUCCUCCCCUUGUACCUUGGCCAUGACCUUAAUCCUCACCUAGAUUUUCCAUCCCAUCUAUGGAUACAAAUUUGUUCUAAAUUAGAUCAACUGAACUCUAAGAUAAGUUGGCAUUGGUAGCUGAAAGGAAUCCUAAACCAAUUUUAGAGUAUAUAGUUAGACUUUAAGCAUGACUCAAAAAAAGCUACACAUCUCAGUGGAGAGAUAAUAUUACUCAGUUUUAUCCAUUUUCCCUCAUUAAAAAAAAAAAAAAAAAAA
Molecule: long non-coding RNA, 904 nt
Organism: Sapajus apella (tufted capuchin)
Lineage: Eukaryota; Metazoa; Chordata; Mammalia; Primates; Cebidae
Exons: 2
Source: RefSeq, a predicted model, not a curated record